AGUGAACGCUGGCGGUAGGCCUAACACAUGCAAGUCGAACGGCAGCACAGUAAGAGCUUGCUCUUACGGGUGGCGAGUGGCGGACGGGUGAGGAAUACAUCGGAAUCUACUUUUUCGUGGGGGAUAACGUAGGGAAACUUACGCUAAUACCGCAUACGCCCUACGGGUGAAAGCAGGGGAUCUUCGGACCUUGCCCGAUUGAUUGAGCCGAUGUCGGAUUAGCUAGUUGGCGGGGUAAAGGCCCACCAAGGCGACGAUCCGUAGCUGGUCUGAGAGGAUGAUCAGCCACACUGGAACUGAGACACGGUCCAGACUCCUACGGGAGGCAGCAGUGGGGAAUAUUGGACAAUGGGCGCAAGCCUGAUCCAGCCAUACCGCGUGGGUGAAGAAGGCCUUCGGGUUGUAAAGCCCUUUUGUUGGGAAAGAAAAGCAGCAGGUUAAUACCCCGCUGUUCUGACGGUACCCAAAGAAUAAGCACCGGCUAACUUCGUG
This 492-nucleotide ribosomal RNA is filed under the name uncultured bacterium. Its description in RNAcentral is "partial 16S ribosomal RNA". It matches the Rfam family "Bacterial small subunit ribosomal RNA", at positions 29 to 507 of the family's 1533-position model. The record is from RNAcentral.